AUGAGGCUGCUGGUUCUUGUCCUGUGCCUGGUCACAGCUCCCCAAGGUGUCCUGUGCCAGGUGCAGCUGCAGGAAUCAGGACCUGGUCUGGUGAAGCCCUCACAGACCCUGUCCCUCACCUGUGCUGUCUCUGGAUUCUCCAUCACAACCAGUGGUUACCGCUGGCACUGGAUCCGUCAGCCCCCAGGGAAGGGGCUGGAGUGGAUAGGACGCAUAUGGUAUGAUGGUGAUACUAACUACAACCCAUCCCUGAAGAGCCGAGUGUCCAUCUCCAGAGACACGUCCAAGAACCAGUUCUCCCUGCAGCUGAGCUCCCUGACCACUGAGGACACGGCCACCUAUUACUGUGCCAGAGACACAGACCUGAUGCAGUAG
Ictidomys tridecemlineatus (thirteen-lined ground squirrel) is the source of this 375-nucleotide non-coding RNA. The record is from the annotation of a RefSeq genome assembly. Lineage: Eukaryota; Metazoa; Chordata; Mammalia; Rodentia; Sciuridae.